This 348-nucleotide ribosomal RNA is filed under the name uncultured Prevotella sp. RNAcentral describes it as "bacterial SSU rRNA". It matches the Rfam family "Bacterial small subunit ribosomal RNA", at positions 883 to 1230 of the family's 1533-position model. The record is from RNAcentral. Lineage: Bacteria; Pseudomonadati; Bacteroidota; Bacteroidia; Bacteroidales; Prevotellaceae.
CCUCCACGACUAGGCUAAAACUCAAAGGAAUUGACGGGGCCCGCACAAGCGGCGGAGCAUGCGGAUUAAUUCGAUGCAACGCGAAGAACCUUACCAAGGCUUGACAUGUGCUAGAUCGCCGUAGAAUACGGUUCCCCUUUGGGGCUGGUUCACAGGUGCUGCAUGGUUGUCGUCAGCUCGUGCCGUGAGGUGUCGGCUUAAGUGCCAUAACGAGCGCAACCCUCAUCCUCGUUUGCCAUCAGGUAAUGCUGGGCACUCCGGGGAUACUGCCAUCGUAAGAUGUGAGGAAGGUGGGGAUGACGUCAAAUCAGCACGGCCCUUACGUCCGGGGCUACACACGUGUUACAA